UUUUACAAUGGAGAGUUUGAUCCUGGCUCAGGAUGAACGCUAGCUACAGGCUUAACACAUGCAAGUCGAGGGGAAACGACAUCGAAAGCUUGCUUUUGAUGGGCGUCGACCGGCGCACGGGUGAGUAACGCGUAUCCAACCUGCCCAUCACUUGGGGAUAACCUUGCGAAAGUAAGACUAAUACCCAAUGAUAUCUCUAGAAGACAUCUGAAAGAGAUUAAAGAUUUAUCGGUGAUGGAUGGGGAUGCGUCUGAUUAGCUUGUUGGCGGGGUAACGGCCCACCAAGGCGACGAUCAGUAGGGGUUCUGAGAGGAAGGUCCCCCACAUUGGAACUGAGACACGGUCCAAACUCCUACGGGAGGCAGCAGUGAGGAAUAUUGGUCAAUGGGCGAGAGCCUGAACCAGCCAAGUAGCGUGCAGGAUGACGGCCCUAUGGGUUGUAAACUGCUUUUAUAAGGGAAUAAAGUGAGCCUCGUGA
Molecule: ribosomal RNA, 478 nt
Filed under: Segatella copri DSM 18205
Lineage: Bacteria; Pseudomonadati; Bacteroidota; Bacteroidia; Bacteroidales; Prevotellaceae
Description: bacterial SSU rRNA
Rfam family: Bacterial small subunit ribosomal RNA
Source: RNAcentral